Molecule: non-coding RNA, 100 nt
Filed under: Gottschalkia purinilytica
Lineage: Bacteria; Bacillati; Bacillota; Tissierellia; Tissierellales; Gottschalkiaceae
Description: Clostridium purinilyticum TPP sequence
Rfam family: TPP riboswitch aptamer (THI element)
About the family: Vitamin B(1) in its active form thiamin pyrophosphate (TPP) is an essential coenzyme that is synthesised by coupling of pyrimidine and thiazole moieties in bacteria. The previously detected thiamin-regulatory element, thi box was extended, resulting in a new, highly conserved RNA secondary structure, the THI element, which is widely distributed in eubacteria and also occurs in some archaea.
Source: Rfam by way of RNAcentral
AAAGAAAGCUAGGGGAGCCAUUUGGCUGAGAAGGUUUCAAACCUGACUCUUUGAACCUGAUGUGGUUAGUACCAUCGUAGGGAAGCUUAUACAUAAUUUU